This 460-nucleotide ribosomal RNA is filed under the name uncultured bacterium. RNAcentral's name for it is "partial 16S ribosomal RNA". It matches the Rfam family "Bacterial small subunit ribosomal RNA", at positions 338 to 795 of the family's 1533-position model. The record is from RNAcentral.
CCUACGGGGGGCAGCAGUGAGGAAUAUUGGUCAAUGGGCGUAAGCCUGAACCAGCCAAGUCGCGUGAGGGAUGAAGGUUCUAUGGAUCGUAAACCUCUUUUAUAAGGGAAUAAAGUGCGGGACGUGUCCCGUUUUGUAUGUACCUUAUGAAUAAGGAUCGGCUAACUCCGUGCCAGCAGCCGCGGUAAUACGGAGGAUCCGAGCGUUAUCCGGGUUUAUUGGGUUUAAAGGGUGCGUAGGCGGCCUUUUAAGUCAGCGGGGAAAGUCUGUGGCUUAACCAUAGAAUUGCCGUUGAAACUGGGAGGCUUGAGUAUGUUUGAGGCAGGCGGAAUGCGUGGUGGAGCGGUGAAAUGCUUAGAUAUCACGCAGAACCCCGAUUGCGAAGGCAGCCUGCCAAGCCAUGACUGACGCUGAUGCACGAAAGCGUGGGGAUCAAACAGGAUUAGAUACCCGAGUAGUC